AAAGACUUUGCGACGUGCUUUCUAACCUAUCAUACAUUGUCUUCAUCUUUCCAAGAUUGCUCUAUGGAUCAUGAAGGGCAAGAUGGAUGUAGUAGUUCCGGAUCUGAUACCGGGGGUCAAACCGAUGACAAAACUAGUACUUCUACUUCUACUUGCCUUUACCCAUUUGGGCUGGCCACUUAUAGAAUGCAGGGAGAUCUUUGGUUGAAGCCAGAGACGUCUGAUUACGAACGAAUCGUUGAUCUCUAUCAUGCUGCCGAUUCAUGGUUGAAGCAGCUCGGCGUCCAUCACCACGACUUCAACUUCUUUUCCCUUCACUCAACUUUGUUGUAUGUUUGUGUUCAUGGUUUUGCAACCAACAUGAGAAACUCUUUACCUUUUUUGCCUCUGCCCCCUGCAGUUAGGGGUUUGAUUCAAAACCAGCCCUUUUGUAGUUUUUAACUCAGGAAAAAUGAUGAACAUUGUU
This 466-nucleotide unclassified non-coding RNA is filed under the name Hevea brasiliensis (rubber tree). The record is from RNAcentral. Lineage: Eukaryota; Viridiplantae; Streptophyta; Magnoliopsida; Malpighiales; Euphorbiaceae.